Molecule: ribosomal RNA, 313 nt
Filed under: uncultured bacterium
Lineage: Bacteria
Description: bacterial SSU rRNA
Rfam family: Bacterial small subunit ribosomal RNA
Source: RNAcentral
GAUGAACGCUAGCGGCAGGCUUAACACAUGCAAGUCGAGGGGUAACAGAGGUAGCUUGCUACUUGCUGACGACCGGCGCACGGGUGCGUAACGCGUAUAGAAUCUGCCUCAUACUGGAGGGAUAGCCUUUAGGAAACGAGGAUUAAUACUCCAUGGUAUCAUGAAUUCGCAUUGUUUUUAUGAUUAAAGUUUUUCGGUAUGAGAUGGGCAUGCGUCCUAUUAGCUAGUUGGUGAGGUAACGGCUCACCAAGGCGACGAUGGGUAGGGGGCCUGAGAGGGUGGUCCCCCACACUGGUACUGAGACACGGACCAG